AUGAACGCUGGCGGCGUGCUUAACACAUGCAAGUCGAACGGGAAAUAUUUCAUUGAGACUUCGGUGGAUUUGAUCUAUUUCUAGUGGCGGACGGGUGAGUAACGCGUGGGUAACCUGCCUUAUACAGGGGGAUAACAGUCAGAAAUGGCUGCUAAUACCGCAUAAGCGCACAGAGCUGCAUGGCUCAGUGUGAAAAACUCCGGUGGUAUAAGAUGGACCCGCGUUGGAUUAGCUAGUUGGUGGGGUAACGGCCCACCAAGGCGACGAUCCAUAGCCGGCCUGAGAGGGUGAACGGCCACAUUGGGACUGAGACACGGCCCAGACUCCUACGGGAGGCAGCAGUGGGGAAUAUUGCACAAUGGGGGAAACCCUGAUGCAGCGACGCCGCGUGAAGGAAGAAGUAUCUCGGUAUGUAAACUUCUAUCAGCAGGGAAGAUAGUGACGGUACCUGACUAAGAAGCCCCGGCUAACUACGUGCCAGCAGCCGCGGUAAUACGUAGGGGGCAAGCGUUAUCCGGAUUUACUGGGUGUAAAGGGAGCGUAGACGGUGUGGCAAGUCUGAUGUGAAAGGCAUGGGCUCAACCUGUGGACUGCAUUGGAAACUGUCAUACUUGAGUGCCGGAGGGGUAAGCGGAAUUCCUAGUGUAGCGGUGAAAUGCGUAGAUAUUAGGAGGAACACCAGUGGCGAAGGCGGCUUACUGGACGGUAAC
RNAcentral lists this ribosomal RNA (710 nucleotides) under uncultured Lachnospiraceae bacterium. RNAcentral's name for it is "bacterial SSU rRNA". It matches the Rfam family "Bacterial small subunit ribosomal RNA", at positions 29 to 740 of the family's 1533-position model. The record is from RNAcentral. Lineage: Bacteria; Bacillati; Bacillota; Clostridia; Lachnospirales; Lachnospiraceae.